Molecule: non-coding RNA, 47 nt
Organism: Phlebotomus papatasi
Lineage: Eukaryota; Metazoa; Arthropoda; Insecta; Diptera; Psychodidae
Source: Rfam
AAAACAGCCCUUUUUAGGGCUAAAAAACAAUAUUUAAAGAGUUGGAU